UACGUAGGUGGCAAGCGUUGUCCGGAUUUACUGGGCGUAAAGAGCGCGCAGGCGGUCGUUCAAGUCGCGUGUGAAAGCCCCCGGCUCAACUGGGGAGGGUCACGCGAUACUGAUCGACUCGAAGGCAGGAGAGGGUAGUGGAAUUCCCGGUGUAGUGGUGAAAUGCGUAGAUAUCAGGAGGAACACCGGUGGCGAAGGCGGAUCUCUGGGCCUGUCCUGACGCUGAGGCGCGAAAGCUAGGGGAGCGAACAGG
This 253-nucleotide ribosomal RNA is filed under the name uncultured bacterium. RNAcentral describes it as "partial 16S ribosomal RNA". It matches the Rfam family "Bacterial small subunit ribosomal RNA", at positions 524 to 776 of the family's 1533-position model. The record is from RNAcentral.